Molecule: ribosomal RNA, 506 nt
Filed under: uncultured bacterium
Lineage: Bacteria
Description: partial 16S ribosomal RNA
Rfam family: Bacterial small subunit ribosomal RNA
Source: RNAcentral
GACGAACGCUGGCGGCGUGCUUAACACAUGCAAGUCGAACGGGCCUUGUCCCCUUUUUUUUUGGGGGUGGGGUUAGUGGCGAACGGGUGAGUAACACGUGAGUAACCUGCCCCUCACUUCUGGAUAACCGCUUGAAAGGGUGGCUAAUACAGGGUGUUCUGGCCUGCUCGCAUGGGUGGGUUUGGAAAGAUUCGACCGGUUUGGUUGUUUUGGUGGGGGAUGGGCUCGAGGCCUAUCAGCUUGUUGGUGGGGUGAUGGCCUGCCAAGGCGUUGACGGGUAGCUGGCGUGGGGGGGGGGCGGCCCUGACGGGGAUGGAGACCCGCCGAAGACCCUGGCGGGGUGCGGCAGGGGGAAUAUUGCACAACGUGCGCAAGCCUGACGCAGCGACGCCGCGUGAGGGAUGGAGGCCUUCGGGUUGUGAACCUCUUUCGCCAGUGAAGAAGGUCCUGCUCUUUGUGGUGGGGUUGACGGUAGCUGGGUUAAUGAAGCGCCGGCUAACUACGUG